This is a long non-coding RNA of Amphibalanus amphitrite, 1544 nucleotides long. RefSeq lists it as uncharacterized. NCBI's taxonomy places the organism in Eukaryota, Metazoa, Arthropoda, Thecostraca, Balanomorpha, Balanidae. The record is from RefSeq and is a predicted model, not a curated record. The transcript is spliced from 3 exons.
UAUGUAGGCCUAUGUAUUUAGAUGUGCAUUAUGUGUGCUCACCCGAAUGGUCAAAGAUUGCUUAACUUUAUCUUUUCCGUUUUUCAGACUUAUCAGAAAUGCAAGCAGGUGCGUAAGAAGUGGACGUCAACAGAAAAGAUCGGCCAAGUUUCAGUUAUGGACACUGUGUGGGCUUCCGCGGUGGCCUUUAGCGGGUGUCACGAGACGAAAGUGGACAGACUGCUGCAGUUCGCAAACAUGGGAAGGCUCAGUCAUACCACUUUCUACAGAAUAACCAACAAAGUUGUUCAACCAGUGGUACGGGACACCUAUGAGGCAACGCUGAGAGCUAACAGGGAGGCGGCCACGGAUGCUUCACCUGAUGGUCUCAUCAUUGCCGGUGAUUGUUAAAACGACAGCCCUGGGUUUUCAGCAUCGUACGGCACCUAUACGAUUAUGGACAACACUACCGGCAACAUCAUCGCGCAGAACACAGUCUGUCAUCAAGAGGCGGGGUUUUCAAGCCCCAAACUGGAGACCGAAGGUUUGUCGCGAUGCCUCGACGACAUCGAGUUUCUUCCCAUUAAGGAGUUCGUUGCUGAUCAGCAUCUUGGUGUCAAGAAGGUUGUGAGUAAGUAAAGUAUGUUUGUUGGCGUAUUUCAGUCAUCAGGGUGUAUAUGAAUGACAUUUCGGCAAAUUCAGGCAUUAUGGACUACUGCUAGAGCAAGAUUACUUUACUAAUCAGGUUGGUUCACUAGGGAAAUAAAGGCGCCGUGGUGACGUCACGGAUUUGGUAGCAAUCUGGUAGCAAUUUUUGCAGACAUCAAUGGCGCACGUGUUGUUUGAUCGUCGCCAAUACUAUUUUACUGCACUAUUUUGUUAUUUCACUGCAAUGUAUUGUACAUUACAUUUGAAAAUUAAAAUAAAGAGAUAUUCGUAACCCAGCAAGUCAGUUAUUCUUUGAGGCAGCACUCUGUCAGCAUUGAGCCUUCAGAAUGUGUUAUUUGAUAGACUUUCCAACAUUUUCUACUCUUGUGGAAAACUUUCUUAGUCAUCAAAAAUGUAUGCACAUAUGAAUAAUUAGAACUUCAUUUUCAAAGUUUUAUAGAAAUAAGAUUUCACAUUACAUUAUCAUAAGGCUACCUGUCCAUUUCGUCCAACCAAUUAAAUAUUCAUCCAGCAGAAGGCAGGUACCUCUGAGAAGGCACUGAUAUCUCUUAUCUACUGUACACCAAUAUUUCAGGAAAAUGACAGAGACUGAGAAGCUAUUAAAACUUCAGCGUAUGAAAGGGAUGUUAUGGCUUAUGCACAUUGAAAAACAUCAGAUAAUGCUUUUGAACCAUCUCAUUCACCAGCACACAUCAAUCCGGCUCCUGGCUUCUGUCAAGGAAACAUUCCAAAAUAAUGCAUUAUUUUAUUUCAUUGACCACCUUGCAAAAGACAAACAGCAAACAAAUCACCACCAAAAACAAAAAUAGUCAACAGGUAGGUACCAGCUGAUCUAGCCGUGCUGUGUCAUGUGCCUUUGAAAAACUUGAGCAGUCAAGGUUGAAUAAACACCCCAA